Molecule: long non-coding RNA, 3795 nt
Organism: Amphiprion ocellaris (clown anemonefish)
Lineage: Eukaryota; Metazoa; Chordata; Actinopteri; Pomacentridae
Exons: 2
Source: RefSeq, a predicted model, not a curated record
CAUGAAGUUCGGCUAAAAGACACACAAGACUGUAAUUUAAGGAGGCUAAUUUGCCAUUUUAUCUUGAUAUUUGUCGACACAGACAGACGCUGUUUGGCACAGAACAGUUUAAUGAUACUUUAAUCUUAUCCCGCACUAAUUAUGAACUGAUAAACACGGGAAUUACGGAUAGCAACAGUGUUCAACUCACGUGAAAUGUGUUCACCGGGCAGAGGCGGUGUGUUGUUGACGCGUAGUGAUGACGUCGAAUUGAUGCGCGCCUUCUGAAAAGUUGCUCAGAAGCUGGACGGACUGUAGAAAACAGAACAUCUGACAUAAAAUUUAAAGUCUCGCCUUUCUUUACAUGGCUAGCCGCCAUAGUCAAGUUCACACCUGGUUUAUUUUUGUCCUCCUGCUGUUCCUGAGUGGUUUUAUUUAGUUUUCUCUUUUGCUCUAUUUGCUUGUAAAAGAGGGACACUAGGACCCAGGCAACCAUGUGGCCAAUCCAGGUGAGAAGAACAAGGUAAGAGGAGCAGGUAGCGCAGGAGUGAUGGGAAGUUCUUUUGGCACGGCUCCUAAAGAACUACUGGCUCUUUCGGCUCCCAAACGAUUCCUACUUUAGUAUUAUUUUUAAGAGAACCCGCAUAAUUGCCUCAUUUUGCGCAUUUGUUGUGUUUAAAAAGCAGGCAUUCUUACUUUUGUUUGAUUUUUUUAAUCAAACUUUUUUUUUUUGCACAAAAAACAAAUGAACAAAACACUGUACAAAACCCCACAGAACAGAAACAGAACCAAACUCUGUGUUCAAAGCUUGGAUGGGCCGAUACCAUUUCUUCUUUCGGUGGGGGAAGACUGAGGCCUUGGCCUGCCACCAGCUCAGUGGGUCAUCUGCUCAUUGGAUGAGGGGCUCCUCAAGAUAUGAUCUCACCUCCAUUACAGCAUCAGCUGUAGGAUUUCUCCUAUCAUCAUGUCCUGUAGCUCUUUCAUCAAAGAGCCUCCACACAGCAGAAGUUUGUUGGUCCUCCUCCACUGGGCCCUCUAGUGGUGGAGGUGGUUGGAUGCUAGGGGUACAUUUUGCUGGAGUGUCUCAUCAACAGCUCUGUUGUCACUGAAAGCAAGCUUCUUAAACCUAGGAUGCAAUAACAUGGUUUCUGCAAGGACAGUGUUCAACUCCAUACUUCAUGAAAAAAGUUGGGAGUCGGCUCUUCUGAUUCGCUACAAAGCAUUAGCUCUUAGAGCCGCAUGUUUUGCGCAUGACAUCACUAUAGCACAGGCGUGUUAGCUUCAUACUGCCUCCUGGGAUCCCUCAUGUGUGCAGCUUUUUCUGGUAAGCCAAGCAGACUCUGUGUUUUAACUAGUGUUGUUUUAAUUGUUAGAUUAAUGUAGAGGUCUGUAAUAAUAAUUUGGUGUUUCUUUUCUUAAUGGUCAUUAAAGUACAGAACUAGUGCUGGCAGCAGCAAGAAAUGAGAGUAUCUCCAUGAUAUUGAGCUGUGUUUUCACUUGUGAUAACGAAACAUUAAUUUGUAUUGUUAUAAGUGCUGAUUGCUUUUCAUUUUACAUUAUUUUCUUUACAUUAUCUUAUUUCUAGUACUUGUCAGAUUAGCUGCUCAACCUACCAAGCUGUUUUUAGUGCUGCAGACUGGUGUCGACCUCCAGUUGUAGGAGUAGCUGAAGUGGGCUGUUUGGUUUGUGGUGCCAUGAUUUAAGGUUUGGGUGUUUUUCUGUUGGAAAUUAGGUUUAUUGUGUGUGUGGUUUUGGUUAUUCACUGCUAGCACAGUCUCAGUGCAUUGGCUUGCUGAUUGAUCCACCACUCCCCUGCAGCAAAACCAUACAAUUUUUAAUUUAAGUGACCCUGGUUAUAAUAAACAAGUCCGUAUUGGCAUUUGACCCACUCUUACUUUGCUUCUUUAUUCAAGUUACCUGUGUUUUUAUAUUGAGAAAAGUCAGAUGCCACAUGCCUCUUUUUUAAUAUUUGCCAAUAUGCUCUGCUUUGGCUGACCUGUUCAUACGGUUGUAUUAAUUUGUUUAUGCUCGAGUUUCCUGUGAUUCUUGUCAUUUCCUCCACGGAUUUCUAUGUGCUGUUGCAUUUUAUCAGCCUUACCUUCUCUGUCUGAUAGUUUGUGCUUUGUCCUUUCUGUCUCUGUACCUCUCUGCAGGUUUAUCAGGCUCUGAAGCAGCACAAGUCUGAUCUGUGGUUCCUGGUGUCACCAAUCUGUCCAGUGUUUGUUGUCUGUUUGUUUAUCCUUGCUUUCUCUUUUCUCUCCCUCCUUUACCCUCACCCCAACAGGUCGAGCCAGAUGUCCACUCUCCCUCAGCGUGGUUUUGCUGAAGGUUUGUUCCUGUUGAAAGAGAGCUCUUCAUCCUCGCCGUCACAACUAUAGUGCUCAUCUGAAAUCUUGGGAUCCAUUGGAUUUUCCAUGUAUAAUUUUGUAGGUCUUGAAUUUUUAGAUUAGUUGGGUAAUUUUUUAAGAGUGGAUAUAAUAUUGUAGGUUCGUAACCUUAGCGUUUCAGUCAGGUUCAUUGUAUUACAUAAUAUUGUAGUGGUUUUGGUGUAAUGUUUAAAUUGUUUAGGUUAAUUCACAUAAAUGAUAUAGUAGGGUGUUAACCUGAAUAUAUAAUUUACUCAUGUCACUUUGCAUUUUAUAAUAUAGAAAUUACUCAAUUAAAUUCAUACAGUCUUGCAGGGUUUUGACCUUAAUAUUUAAACUUGUGGGAUAAAUUUGCAACACCAGUCUUGUUUCUCUGCUGGAAACCACUUUAGCUCAGUGUCAAUUGUUUUAAAUGUGCUGUAUAAUUAACAGUGACGUGGCUCUGAAUGGUUAGAUAUGUGAAGUACAGGCUACACAAAAAGGGGUGUUGUUCAAAGCCACUAAAUCACGACUAACAAUGUCAUUCUUGGUUGAAACCAGCAGAUGGCAGCAUGGUUCCUUCGCUGAUAGAAUGAUUCAUGACUGAGGAUCGCCUCUCUGUGGGCGAUGGGAGAUGCAGACUUGAGGCAUGUGAAUCAGUCAGAAAGAGACAGAAGCUGUAACAUCAACUUUAACACAGAUGAUUUGUAACUUAAUCACAGCUUUUUGACGUCAGAGACCUUAAACCUCCUCCACCCACAACGCAUAAGAACCUUGGUGGGUUCUACUUGCAUAUUCAGUACAGAAUAGUCAACAUUAUUUUCAAUUUAUAAGCCCACUGAAGGCCAUCAGCACUUGUUUUAUUCAUAUUUUUAAUGAAUGAAUGCAGGAUAUAUUCAAAGGGAAGGAAAGGCUUGUGUUGUAAGCUUGCUGAAUGAAAAAGCUUUAUUAAAUGUUGUGUUUUAUAUAGAGAUAGAUGGAUAUAUCUGUCUCUUUUGGUUCUAUUCUCAGGUAGAAUAGCUGCAUCCUACUGCUAUUUUUGUAUUUCGAGGCCUUUUUGUAUAUACUGUCUUCCUACUUAUGUUUUCUUUCUCAGCCUGAUAGUUUUAUUGGUGGAGUCGCACCAGUCGAGGAUGAUGCAUUCCUGUUCUUUACGAAAUACAGCAAUGUAAAAAUACCCCAUUACAGGUAAAAGUGCUACAUAAAUAAGCCCAUUUCAGUAAAAGUACAUGAGCAUUAGCAAUAGUCUGUAGUUAAAGUAUUAAAGUCAAAGUAGUAGUUUGGUCCCUCUGACUCAUAUAUUGUGUAUGACAUUAUUAGAUUAUUAAGAAUGCAGCAUGUUACUGCAUGUGGAGCUAUUCUGAACUAAUUUAUAUGCGGUUCUACAUACAGAUCCAGCAGAUAUGUCUGAGGGCUUGUCAGGUGUUUAAUGGGAGAAGAAAAUAGAAAAAAUAAAGCUCUAAUACACAAA